RNAcentral lists this ribosomal RNA (478 nucleotides) under uncultured bacterium. RNAcentral describes it as "partial 16S ribosomal RNA". It matches the Rfam family "Bacterial small subunit ribosomal RNA", at positions 28 to 507 of the family's 1533-position model. The record is from RNAcentral.
GAUGAACGCUGGCGGCGUGCUUAACACAUGCAAGUCGAACGGGAAAUAUUUCAUUGAGACUUCGGUGGAUUUGAUUUAUUUCUAGUGGCGGACGGGUGAGUAACGCGUGGGUAACCUGCCUUAUACAGGGGGAUAACAGUCAGAAAUGGCUGCUAAUACCGCAUAAGCGCACAGAGCUGCAUGGCUCAGUGUGAAAAACUCCGGUGGUAUAAGAUGGACCCGCGUUGGAUUAGCUAGUUGGUGGGGUAACGGCCCACCAAGGCGACGAUCCAUAGCCGGCCUGAGAGGGUGAACGGCCACAUUGGGACUGAGACACGGCCCAGACUCCUACGGGAGGCAGCAGUGGGGAAUAUUGCACAAUGGGGGAAACCCUGAUGCAGCGACGCCGCGUGAAGGAAGAAGUAUCUCGGUAUGUAAACUUCUAUCAGCAGGGAAGAUAGUGACGGUUCCUGACUAAGAAGCCCCGGCUAACUACGUG